GUUUCGUCAAAGGAAAUUAUUUUUUUAGAAACGAAGCGCUGUCUGAGAUCGGAAUCACCACCUUAUCAAGUGUUGAUAUGAAGUCACAUUACACUGAGAUUUUAAGGAGAUAUAAAUCAAUAGUGAUAAUGAAUGUACUCUGAUUUUUAUAAAGCAUAAAGAAAAUCGGUCAUAUCUAGCCGUGAAAAUGGAGAUGUCACAUAAGGCUAGAGGGAGUGACUCGCCAUGGACUCGCUAUACCACCCCCUCACCUUUGCUUGAGGAGUCGCCAAAGAUGGGCCACUACACCCUUAGCGAGAUGAGAGAGAAAGCAAGAGAAGACUGUGAUUGGUGGUUGAGAUUUGUACAAUAAUCGAAGAAUACUAGAAGAAAAUAAUAAGAAAGUAAAUUACUAAAAUCGUCCCUAUGUUUUGGUCAAAAUUGCACGUUUGGUCCCUAACUUUUUUUUGCGCUCGGAUCGUCCCUGUGGUCUGAUUUAGUUGUGUUUUUCGUUCUUUACAUACAUAAAGUUAGCGACCAAAUGUGUAAUUUUGACCAAACUAUAUGGAAAAAAAAUGUAACAAAAUCAAACCACAGAGACGAUUUGAGUGCAAAAAAAGCUAGGGAUCAAAAGUGUAAUUUUGACUAAAUCAUAGGGACGAUUUCAGUAGUUUACUCUAAUAAGAAAGAUGAUGAACCUGGGUGAUUUUAGGCCUUCAAUGGACUAUAGUCGAA
Molecule: non-coding RNA, 714 nt
Organism: Lactuca sativa (garden lettuce)
Lineage: Eukaryota; Viridiplantae; Streptophyta; Magnoliopsida; Asterales; Asteraceae
Source: RefSeq, a predicted model, not a curated record